This 1085-nucleotide long non-coding RNA is filed under the name Homo sapiens (human). RNAcentral describes it as "HSALNT0302029". Lineage: Eukaryota; Metazoa; Chordata; Mammalia; Primates; Hominidae. The record is from RNAcentral.
CAGGAGGGGAAGGCUGGACAGGAAAAACCAUUCCCUUUUAUAAAAAGCAUGCAGGUUUUACAGCAAGUACCCUUCGCAUAGCAACCACCACUUAGCAGCCUCCACCUAGCUGAAAACAAUGGGCCUCAGUUCCUUGGACCACCUGCAUUCCAAGGCACACGCCAGGAUCCAGGUGUCCUUCACAGGUAUGGCAUAAACAUCAGGGUUGGCCAUUACUGGAACACUAAACAAACAUUCAUCAAGGAACACAGGAUCAUUCUCAAGCGUUCUAGAACACAACUACUAACUAGCUCGGCCUGGUACCACGGAUUUGUGCUACGGCACCAGGAGAGCAAAAUCAACACAGAAAAAAGCAAGAAAACUCAGAGAAAAAAUAAAACAAAUCUACAAUGAACACAUCAGUAUGUAUAUUUCUACAAACUUGUGUGAGAAGUUCUGUAAGAUCAAGUCCUAAAAGCAGAAUUGCUGGCUCAAAGGCAAAAAAAAAAAAAAAAAAGUAAAUUUAUUGAUGUGCCUACCAACGUGUUCUGAGGCUAUGAGGAAGCCAUAAAAGUCCUACCCUGAAUUACAGUCCAUCCUGGAUUCCAGGCAAGAAUAUAUACCUUCAGAUUUGUAUUUCUCUCGGAAGUAUUAAGAUUUCAAAAACUGGGCAGAAUGAAUCACAGACAAAUGCUUUCAGAAACUUAGAUGGGGACAUAUAUAAUGUAAGAUGGACUUAACUUACAUGUAGAAUAAAAUGGACUUACAUGUAAAAGCAUUUAGAGUGUCUGGUAUUAUGUGUUAGCUCCUACUAUUAUUGUUAAAUCAUUAUUGUAACUUAUUACUAAGUCAUAAGUUACUAAGUAAAAAGUUACAAUAAUAAUUUUUAAAAUUUUUUCCAGUCCUAUGUGAUCUGAAAAAAUAUAUAUAUACCCAAAUACCGUUUACUUAAACAUGGGAAGGUAGAGGACAAGGAAAGAAGAAAAGCUAAGUAAAAUGUAUUUCCUUGUUCUAAUAGGAGAAGAAGUCACGGAAAAAUGUAAGGUUAAACACGUCAGUUUACAAUUAGGAAUAUCUGCUUUACUUCCUUUAUUGGAGUAACUAAA